GACGAACCGUGCGAACGUUGUUCGGAAUCACUGGGCUUAAAGGGCGCGUAGGCGGCCGGGCAAGUCCGGGGUGAAAGCCCCCAGCUCAACUGGGGAAGGGCCUCGGAUACUGCCCGGCUGGGGGGAGGUAGGGGCGGGCGGAACUUCCGGUGGAGCGGUGAAAUGCGUUGAUAUCGGAAGGAACGCCGGUGGCGAAAGCGGCCCGCUGGACCUCUGCCGACGCUGAGGCGCGAAAGCCAGGGGAGCGAACGGG
Molecule: ribosomal RNA, 253 nt
Filed under: uncultured bacterium
Lineage: Bacteria
Description: partial 16S ribosomal RNA
Rfam family: Bacterial small subunit ribosomal RNA
Source: RNAcentral